Molecule: small nuclear RNA, 113 nt
Filed under: Oryzias javanicus (javanese ricefish)
Lineage: Eukaryota; Metazoa; Chordata; Actinopteri; Beloniformes; Adrianichthyidae
Description: U5 spliceosomal RNA (ENSOJAG00000020430.1)
Rfam family: U5 spliceosomal RNA
About the family: U5 RNA is a component of both types of known spliceosome.
Source: Rfam by way of RNAcentral
ACUCUUGGGUUUCUCUCAGAAUCGUACAAAUCUUUCGCCUUUUACUAAGAUUUCCGUGGAGAGGAACAACAAGAGUUAGAUUCAUUUUUUGAUGGCCCUGCAAGCAUAGGGCU